AACCUUAAGAUCAAAGUAAUGCUUCAAGGUCAAAACAUGUUCAACCUGAUGACAGACAAAGCUUUUGAGCAACAGCAUUCUGAAGAAGGAAGCCAGGAUGAUGAGAAAUCAAAGUAUGCAUACUUUCUAACCCCAGGGGAGGAGAGAAGGCGGAGUUUCCAUUUUCAAUCCUAGAAAGAAAAAUCACUAACUAUGCACACAGAUUUACCAUAAUCACUAUGAUUACUACGUUUUCUUUGGUAUCGACUUCCAGAAAGGCAGGCAAAUGUCACUGGUUUUUUUCACAUCUUCAUCCAUCCCGGUGAUACAUUUGUGCAUACACUUGUGUUAUCCUGGUUGACUUGAAUGAAUACCCAUUAGAGAUGAAAGGAGCUAUUAAGUCACCUCCCCUCUGCUUUGCACACAGGUCAAGCUCAAUCCCUCUUCCUCAGCCAAAACACUCAUUGGAUCUCUCUUUGCUUUUCUGCAGUGACUGGAGUGUAGCUGCCGCCGCCACCACCACCACCACCACCACCACCACCAUCUUAUCACCGCCAGCAAUGAGAUCUCAAGACAUUCUGUAAACAUUUCUUUGGCAUGUAUCAGUGUCCCUGAGAGCGUUGAUAAUCUGCUUGAAUGUGAGCUCAAUGCUGGGACGGCCUCCCCGGACUUGGCAGGCAGCCCUUGAACAAACCUUUUGUGCCUGCAUCCCUCUGAUGGACAGGCACUGAGGAUGCCGGUGACCCAGCUUCUAGAAAGAAUCACAGCAGGGAAGGGGCAUUGCUAAGUAGUCUUCCAACCUGGGGACACAAGCUAAAAAUGAGAGAAAACUCAGAUCAACAGUGCUGCUGAGCUUAUUACGUUUAAGACGAAAAACAAUACCUGAUUAAAGCAACAAAACACCUGGAUAUUUUGCAGUUAGCCCCGUUAAUCAGAGAAGGAUGAGCCUUGGGGCUGUGGCUCAGGUUCCUAAUCCUGUUGCUAGAGUUUUUCACUUUUGUUCUCAUUUCUGCGGCUGACAUGGGAUCCUACAGAUUGUUUAUCCCAAGGCUGUCUGGGCCUGGGCUCUGUGAACAGUGUCACUCUAAAAAUAACAGGCUGUGCCGAGAAUAGCAGACUUUCUCCUUUUUCCUGCAGAAGACGACUUCUCAGCUCCUUGGAGGGGUCAGUACGAGGUGAGAGCCAUAGAAAGAUGGCAACGAAAAAGAAAGAGACAUUCUGCAAUGGGUUGAAUGGGGUCUCCCUGACAUUUACAUCACCCAGAACCUCAAAAUAUGACCUUAUCUGGAAACAGGGUCUUUUGAGAUGUCAUGGAUUCUGCUGCCAUCAGCAGAGAGACAGAAAGGUCUGCCCUCUGGAAGUCAGCUGAAGCCCAGUGCAAAGUGCAGCUGGUCAAGACAUUGUGGUUCUCAAUCAGGAACCCUUUGCAAUGUCAGCCUCCCCUAGGAUGAGUGAGCAAGCUUGGCGGGAAUAUGGGGGUGUUGAUUAUGGUCUCUCCUCUGGGACAUUCAGAAUCAAUCUGUCCGUCGCAAGAUCGAAAUAAAGUGGUGAUAUAGAUGAGUCUGAGAACUUAUCUACAACUCACAGCAGCAACUCUCUGUGUAAAUGUUAAUUGUACAAUCAGGGUAAAAAAAAUAACUCUAAUACCAUAUGUGCAUGUUAGGAAAUUAUCUAAGUGCAUAUGGAAUCGGGAGCUCAGAGGCUGAAGGAACUGAAAGGAUUUUCCAUAUAAAAUUCUUUACUGCAUGUUACAGGCUGAAUUGUGUUUCCUCAAAAUUUAUAUGUUAAAUCCUAAACAUUGGGACCUCAGAAUGUCACUGUAUUUGGAGAUAAGGUCUUUAAAGAGGUGAUUAAGGUAAAAUGAGGUCACUAAGAUGGGCACCAAUCCAAUAGGACUGGGGUCUUUAUAAGAAGAGAAUAUUAGGACACAGACAUAAAUACAGGGACGACCCUGUGAGGACAAAGGGAGAAGACAGCAUCUACAAGCUCAGGAGAGAAGCUUUAGGAGGAGCCAACCCUUCCCAUACCUUGAGCUUAGACUUCCAGCCUCCAGGACUGUGGGAGAAUAAAUGUCUGCUGUUUGUAAACCACCCAGUCUAUGGUGUGCUGUUAUAGCAGCCUGAAAUGGACUAAGCCAUCUCAUAAGAAGAGGAGACAGAUACACACAGAGGGACAACCAUUUGAGGACACAGGGAGAAGACAGUGUCUACAAGCUCAGGAGAGAGGCCUCGAGAGGAACCAGCCCUGCCCACACCUUGAUCUUGGAAUUCCAACCUCCAGGACUGUGGAGAAUAAGUGUCUGUUGCUUGUAAGCCAUUAAGUCUAUGGUAUUAUGUUACAGAAGCCUGAAAUUGACUAAGACAUCUCAUAAGAAGAAGAGAUGAGGACACAGACACACACAGAGGGACGACCACAUGAGGACACAGGGAGAAGAUGGCAUCUACAAGGCUACGAGAGAGGCUUCAGGAGGAACCAGCCGUGCUCACCCCUUGAUCUCAGAUUUCCAGCCUCCAGAACCGUGAGAAAAUAAAUCUUUGUUGUUUAAGUCA
This is a long non-coding RNA of Homo sapiens (human), 2528 nucleotides long. RefSeq lists it as uncharacterized. The transcript has 2 exons. Lineage: Eukaryota; Metazoa; Chordata; Mammalia; Primates; Hominidae. The record is from RefSeq and is a predicted model, not a curated record.